UUUUAAGGUGGCACUUCUGCCUGAGAUGGCACAGAAAGAUGUUUAUCAGACAGCGACUUCAGAUGUCUGACAUCUACAGUUCUACAAAGCACGAGUUGGUAUUUCUUUGCAAAAACAAAUCUGACAAACGCAAGUACGUUCCAUACAGGUAAAGAAGCAAAUUCUACAAAAACAUUUAUUCCUCAUAUUCAAAAGUGGACUGCUGACUGAAAUUUGUAAGAAUGGAAUCUCUUAACACACUUUUGAUUGCAUUGUAUCUACAGAAUACUGUUUGCUGUUUCUCCCAUAGACAAGAAAAGCAUGAAAUGAAAUCGGUACAACUACAACAUCAUGUCUUCUUUUGAAACAAAACAGAAAAGCAAACACAAGCGUAAUGGCUUCUAAGCUCUCUACCCUUGGGCUAUUCGUCCUGG
This 413-nucleotide long non-coding RNA is filed under the name Fragaria vesca (wild strawberry). RNAcentral describes it as "long non-coding RNA (FVES_LNC001422)". Lineage: Eukaryota; Viridiplantae; Streptophyta; Magnoliopsida; Rosales; Rosaceae. The record is from RNAcentral.